RNAcentral lists this ribosomal RNA (253 nucleotides) under uncultured bacterium. Its description in RNAcentral is "partial 16S ribosomal RNA". It matches the Rfam family "Bacterial small subunit ribosomal RNA", at positions 524 to 776 of the family's 1533-position model. The record is from RNAcentral.
UACAGGGGGUGCAAACGUUGCUCGGAAUUAUUGGGCGUAAAGCGCGCGUAGGCGGCUCCUUAAGUCGGAUGUGAAAGCCCACGGCUCAACCGUGGAGGGUCAUUGGAAACUGAGGGACUUGAGUGCAGGAGAGAAGAGUGGAAUUCCACGUGUAGCGGUGAAAUGCGUAGAGAUGUGGAGGAACACCAGUGGCGAAGGCGACUCUUUGGCCUGUAACUGACGCUGAGGCGCGAAAGCGUGGGGAGCAAACAGG